UCCUUUUCACCUACCAAUCCAUAAAGGCAACAACCACUACACCUACACAUAAUCAAUUACUCGUGCAAAUCUUCUCUCAAAUCUCAAACCAAUUCCAUCUUCCAAACAUUCUCUCUGUUACCAAAUGGCUAAAUCAACAGACAACUCAUACAUGGAGGAGGAUGUGAUUCCAGAAUACUACUCUUACAUGGAUGAGGAUGAUGCUCCAGAGUUCUUCACAGUAUUACCCAUUGAAGAACAAUCAAAGGUGGUCUUUCCAAGAAGCUUCCAAACACAAUAUUCAGUUAAGCUUGGACCAAUUUGCACACUUGAAGACAAAUCCUACAAAAAAUUUGGGAAACAAAAGUCUAAACACUUUCAGAUGGAAGAAUAUGCUUGGACGAUGGUUGGGAGCAAUUCCACAAGGAUCGGAACUUGAGAGUUGGAGACUUCUUGACUUUCGAUAUGAUUUCACCCAAUCAUUUCUUUGUGAAAAUGUAUGAUGCUACGGAUGUGCUAAGGAAAUCCAACAACAACCGGGUUCAUUUGGCCAAGAAACCGACGACGCAUCCUCUUCACAACCUAUUGCUUCACCUUCUUUCAAAUCAACCAUGACAAUAUCAAACCAAAAAAGUCUUGUAAGAAUUUAUACUUUUACUUCAUAUAUAUAUAUAUAUAUUUGAUAAUGAUUGUGUUAAUUUAUUAUAAAAUUGAUAAAUUAAUGUAAUCAACAUUACAACACAUACCAAUCCAUUUUGGAGGACACAUGUGAUAGACAAAGUUAUUGAAGUGGCAAUUUUGGAAUUCCAAGAGAAAACAUGGCAAACAAUGUUGAAGAAGGCUGAAGAUUGGGUGACAAUCUCCACAGGAAGCUCAGGUUUCUACAAAGAAUGCUCUUUGUGUGAAGGAAUGCAAUUGAAGUUUGAGUUGAUAAGCAACACCCCUACCAUCAAAUUCAAAGUUACUGUGACCGAGUAAUGACAACUGACGACAUGGAAUGGUUUGAAAAAUACCCUAACCAGGUAAGUUAAUUUGAAAAAUUCAAUUUUGAGAAACAAACAAUAUAUAUUUAAUCGACUGUUUUUUAGUACUCUAUUAGUAGUAGGCAAUAUUUUGCAUAUACUCAUGAAUUAGUAUCUAUUUUGUCGUAUAUUAUAUUGAGACUUUGAUACUAUAUUAAAAAUUGCCAAGUAUUAUCAGUUAAGUAAUACAGAAUAUGUCAAAUAUAUUAAUAUAACAUUAUAACUUUAUUAAUGAUAAUAUAAUAACCAUUUUGUAUGUACUCAGAUUUUACUAUAUUAAUAAUUAAAGCAAAAGAAAUUAACAACUUUAAGAAUCUUUGCAAGAGUCAAAUAAAACGAUAUUAUAUAUAAUGCAAUUAUAUUUAUAGAUAACAUAUUAUUUAUUAAAAAUAUAAUGUCUAACAUCAAUAUAUCAUGGAAUCUGUUAUAAAUUUGUUAUACAAAUAAACAUACUAAAUGAAUUACCAAGUCAAAACCUACUUAAAAAACAACAAUAAUUCAGCACAUCUACAAAAUCCAAAAGCAUACAACUAAACAUAUAAUCAUAGUUAUUAAUUAGUUAAGCACUAAUGCCCCCUGGGCACAAACAUCUUAUAAUUAUGACAAAUAAAAAAUUACACAAAAAAGUAAAAUAGUGUAUCAUGGAAGUUUCAAAAUCUCAUGGUUCAAUAGCAACGUUGAAAGUGAUGUAUGCAUCUAGUAAGAGCAUGAAAGUAAGAGCAUAAAAAAAAAAAAAAUAAUUAAGUAUGCUCCCAAUUUCCAAACCAUUUUCAUCAAAGAAAAUCCUCCACUCGGUAUGCAAAAUUAUUGCAUUAGACCAUCCACAACGCGUCCCGCGCCGGGCUCGCGUCUCGUCUCGGAGAGAUGGGUCCCCCGCGGGACGUAUUGCAGCGUACAUCCCGUCCCUAGCCCGCGCCCGUCUCGUCCCGUAGCCCGUCUCGGCGAGACACGGGACGAGAUGUCCCGCCACGCGCCAGGGACACGUGGC
Molecule: long non-coding RNA, 1989 nt
Organism: Salvia splendens (bonfire salvia)
Lineage: Eukaryota; Viridiplantae; Streptophyta; Magnoliopsida; Lamiales; Lamiaceae
Exons: 4
Source: RefSeq, a predicted model, not a curated record